UGCGAACUCCUACGGGAGGCAGCAGUGGGGAAUUUUGGACAAUGGGCGCAAGCCUGAUCCAGCCGUGCCGCGUGAGUGAAGAAGGCCUUCGGGUUGUAAAGCUCUUUCAGCCGGGAAGAAAACGCAUGGGUUAAUACCCUGUGUGGAUGACGGUACCGGAAUAAGAAGCACCGGCUAACUACGUGCCAGCAGCCGCGGUAGUACGUAGGGUGCGAGCGUUAAUCGGAAUUACUGGGCGUAAAGCGUGCGCAGGCGGUUUGGUAAGACAGGCGUGAAAUCCCCGGGCUUAACCUGGGAACUGCGUUUGUGACUACCAGGCUAGAGUACGGCGGAGGGGGGUGGAAUUCCACGUGUAGCAGUGAAAUGCGUAGAGAUGUGGAGGAACACCAAUGGCGAAGGCAGCCCCCUGGGUCGAUACUGACGCUCAUGCACGAAAGCGUGGGUAGCAAACAGGAUUAGAAACCCUUGUAGUCCAGAUG
RNAcentral lists this ribosomal RNA (479 nucleotides) under uncultured bacterium. Its description in RNAcentral is "bacterial SSU rRNA". It matches the Rfam family "Bacterial small subunit ribosomal RNA", at positions 330 to 801 of the family's 1533-position model. The record is from RNAcentral.